This 448-nucleotide ribosomal RNA is filed under the name uncultured bacterium. Its description in RNAcentral is "partial 16S ribosomal RNA". It matches the Rfam family "Bacterial small subunit ribosomal RNA", at positions 29 to 523 of the family's 1533-position model. The record is from RNAcentral.
AGCGAACGCUGGCGGCAGGCCUAACACAUGCAAGUCGAACGAACUCUUCGGAGUUAGUGGCGGACGGGUGAGUAACACGUGGGAACGUGCCUUUAGGUUCGGAAUAACUCAGGGAAACUUGUGCUAAUACCGAAUGUGCCCUUCGGGGGAAGGAUUUAUCGCCUUAGAGCGGCCCGCGUCUGAUUAGCUAGUUGGUGAGGUAAAGGCUCACCAAGGCGACGAUCAGUAGCUGGUCUGAGAGGAUGAUCAGCCACAUUGGGACUGAGACACGGCCCAAACUCCUACGGGAGGCAGCAGUGGGGAAUCUUGCGCAAUGGGCGAAAGCCUGACGCAGCCAUGCCGCGUGAAUGAUGAAGGUCUUAGGAUUGUAAAAUUCUUUCACCGGGGACGAUAAUGACGGUACCCGGAGAAGAAGCCCCGGCUAACUUCGUGCCAGCCGCCGCCGUAA